Molecule: ribosomal RNA, 795 nt
Filed under: uncultured bacterium
Lineage: Bacteria
Description: bacterial SSU rRNA
Rfam family: Bacterial small subunit ribosomal RNA
Source: RNAcentral
AGAGUUUGAUCCUGGCUCAGAGUGAACGCUGGCGGUAGGCCUAACACAUGCAAGUCGAACGGCAGCACAGUAAGAGCUUGCUCUUACGGGUGGCGAGUGGCGGACGGGUGAGGAAUGCAUCGGAAUCUACUUUUUCGUGGGGGAUAACGUAGGGAAACUUACGCUAAUACCGCAUACGACCUACGGGUGAAAGCAGGGGAUCUUCGGACCUUGCGCGAUUGAAUGAGCCGAUGUCGGAUUAGCUAGUUGGCGGGGUAAAGGCCCACCAAGGCGACGAUCCGUAGCUGGCCUGAGAGGAUGAUCAGCCACACUGGAACUGAGACACGGUCCAGACUCCUACGGGAGGCAGCAGUGGGGAAUAUUGGACAAUGGGCGCAAGCCUGAUCCAGCCAUACCGCGUGGGUGAAGAAGGCCUUCGGGUUGUAAAGCCCUUUUGUUGGGAAAGAAAUCCAGCUGGUUAAUACCCGGUUGGGAUGACGGUACCCAAAGAAUAAGCACCGGCUAACUUCGUGCCAGCAGCCGCGGUAAUACGAAGGGUGCAAGCGUUACUCGGAAUUACUGGGCGUAAAGCGUGCGUAGGUGGUUGUUUAAGUCUGUUGUGAAAGCCCUGGGCUCAACCUGGGAACUGCAGUGGAAACUGGACGACUAGAGUGUGGUAGAGGGUAGCGGAAUUCCUGGUGUAGCAGUGAAAUGCGUAGAGAUCAGAGGACAUCCAUGGCGAAGCAGCUACCUGGACCAACACUGACACUGAGGCACGAAAGCGUGGGGAGCAACAGGAUUAGAUACCCUGGUAGU